Molecule: small nucleolar RNA, 106 nt
Filed under: Gossypium hirsutum (cotton)
Lineage: Eukaryota; Viridiplantae; Streptophyta; Magnoliopsida; Malvales; Malvaceae
Description: Plant small nucleolar RNA R71
Rfam family: Plant small nucleolar RNA R71
About the family: R71 is a member of the C/D box family of snoRNAs containing the C (UGAUGA) and D (CUGA) box motifs. Multiple nearly identical copies of this snoRNA have been identified in Arabidopsis, and it is thought to function as a 2'-O-ribose methylation guide for 18S ribosomal RNA.
Source: Rfam by way of RNAcentral
AAUCCAUGGUACGGGCAUUCCUUGAUCAAUGUCUUAAAGUGUUCCCAAGCCUCGUGAAAACUUUCCCUUCCAUUUGUCUCAAAACAACAAUUUCUCUUCUUAGUUG